AAUAAUAAUACUGAAUAAUGACACAUUUUUUAUAUGUUUUUGACCAAAACCCUUUGGGGUCCCUGGGAUCAAGCCUGAGUGGAGGCCGAAAUGUAUAUUUUUUAUACAUACAUUGUAUUGUUUGUUUUUUUUAAUGAAAAAAUAUCAAAAUGGCCCCCACUUGCUUAGAUUUUUCAGUGUGCGGCCCUCAGUGGAUAAAGUUUGGACAGGCAGCCAUGAUGUAAAACUAAAUAAUUCACGUUUUGAGGGUUAAAAAAAAGACAAAAAGUUUUUCUCACUUGGGGACGAACAUGCUCUGCUCGCCCAGCCUGGCCACGAAGUCCUCCCAGGCGGCGGUGCUCGGCUCCUGCUCGUAGUCCUGCGGCGGCGGCGGCUGCUGCUCCGCGUCCUUCCGGUGGUGUCGGUCGUGGAAGCCGUUGAUGAACUCGGCCAUGGUGAUGGUGCCGUCCUUGUCCACGUCCAGCUGGUUGAAGAUGCGCUCGGCCUCGGUGGGGCUGACGUGCAGCUCGGUGCAGAUGGUGAAGAACUCGCUCCUCUCGAUGCUGCCCGACUGGUCCGCGUCGUAGGCGUGGAAAAGGGCGCGAAGGCGCUCGCGCUCCUCGGCGCUCAUCACCUUGGGACGAGGCAGGCUGCGGGGAGGCGACAACAUUUAGUCCCGAAAGAAGUCACAUUAAAUCCACGAUAAUCCCAAACGAGAACUCCACGGUUCGUCACCCACGCAGGUCAACUUCCAACCAUCACCUCGAAAGACCCACUUUCGGUAAAUUAAGCCUGACGCAAUCGAUCCCUGUGGAGAGACGGAGCCGACAGCAGGAUAGGACAAACAGCAGUCCUACCCAAGAUGGCGGCCAGGAGGCGGAGCAUGCAGCGGAGCGGAGAGUUUAAAAGGGGAGAAGGAGGAGCAAUCGGGGCAGAAGACGGAAAAGAAACUGCAACAGACAACAACGACAAAGACGACGAGAGACGACCAGAGGAGAGAUAAACCCCCGCGGAAGACGCAGCCACCGGCCACCGGCCACCGAAACGCGCGCCGAGAUGAGCAGGAAAAGAGGUCGUGCUAGAAAUUGGCGCUACCGACUUGAACGAAAGCAUGUUUAUUGAA
Molecule: long non-coding RNA, 1102 nt
Organism: Nerophis ophidion (straightnose pipefish)
Lineage: Eukaryota; Metazoa; Chordata; Actinopteri; Syngnathiformes; Syngnathidae
Exons: 3
Source: RefSeq, a predicted model, not a curated record